RNAcentral lists this small nuclear RNA (165 nucleotides) under Crocodylus porosus (Australian saltwater crocodile). Its description in RNAcentral is "U1 spliceosomal RNA (ENSCPRG00005011169.1)". It matches the Rfam family "U1 spliceosomal RNA". From Rfam's summary of the family: U1 is a small nuclear RNA (snRNA) component of the spliceosome (involved in pre-mRNA splicing). Its 5' end forms complementary base pairs with the 5' splice junction, thus defining the 5' donor site of an intron. The record is from Rfam by way of RNAcentral. Lineage: Eukaryota; Metazoa; Chordata; Crocodylia; Crocodylidae.
UGAAGCAACUGGCAGGGGAGAUACCACAAUCAAGAAGGUGGUUUCCCAGGGUGAGACCUGCCCCUUGCACUCCAAACAGGCUGACCCCUGCAAGUUUCUCUGAGGACAGGAAACUCAAUUGCACAAUUCUGUGGCAAUAGGGAACUGCAUUCAUGCUUUUCCUGG